GAUGAACGCUAGCUACAGGCUUAACACAUGCAAGUCGAGGGGCAGCAUUUUAGUUUGCUUGCAAACUGAAGAUGGCGACCGGCGCACGGGUGAGUAACACGUAUCCAACCUACCGAUAACUCCGGAAUAGCCUUUCGAAAGAAAGAUUAAUACCGGAUAGCAUACGAAUAUCGCAUGAUAUUUUUAUUAAAGAAUUUCGGUUAUCGAUGGGGAUGCGUUCCAUUAGUUUGUUGGCGGGGUAACGGCCCACCAAGACUACGAUGGAUAGGGGUUCUGAGAGGAAGGUCCCCCACAUUGGAACUGAGACACGGUCCAAACUCCUACGGGAGGCAGCAGUGAGGAAUAUUGGUCAAUGGGCGAGAGCCUGAACCAGCCAAGUAGCGUGAAGGAUGAAGGCUCUAUGGGUCGUAAACUUCUUUUAUAUGGGAAUAAAGUUUUCCACGUGUGGAAUUUUGUAUGUACCAUAUGAAUAAGGAUCGGCUAACUCCGUGCCAGCAGCCGCGGUAAUACGGAGGAUCCGAGCGUUAUCCGGAUUUAUUGGGUUUAAAGGGAGCGUAGGUGGAUUGUUAAGUCAGUUGUGAAAGUUUGCGGCUCAACCGUAAAAUUGCAGUUGAAACUGGCAGUCUUGAGUACAGUAGAGGUGGGCGGAAUUCGUGGUGUAGCGGUGAAAUGCUUAGAUAUCACGAAGAACUCCGAUUGCGAAGGCAGCUCACUAAGACUGUCACUGACACUGAUGCUCGAAAGUGUGGGUAUCAAACAGGAUUAGAUACCCUGGUAGUCCACACAGUAAACGAUGAAUACUCGCUGUUUGCGAUAUACAGUAAGCGGCCAAGCGAAAGCAUUAAGUAUUCCACCUGGGGAGUACGCCGGCAACGGUGAAACUCAAAGGAAUUGACGGGGGCCCGCACAAGCGGAGGAACAUGUGGUUUAAUUCGAUGAUACGCGAGGAACCUUACCCGGGCUUAAAUUGCAACAGAAUAUAUUGGAAACAGUAUAGCCGUAAGGCUGUUGUGAAGGUGCUGCAUGGUUGUCGUCAGCUCGUGCCGUGAGGUGUCGGCUUAAGUGCCAUAACGAGCGCGACCCUUAUCUUUAGUUACUAACAGGUUAUGCUGAGGACUCUAGAGAGACUGCCGUCGUAAGAUGUGAGGAAGGUGGGGAUGACGUCAAAUCAGCACGGCCCUUACGUCCGGGGCUACACACGUGUUACAAUGGGGGGUACAGAAGGCGGCUACCUGGUGACAGGAUGCUAAUCCCAAAAACCUCUCUCAGUUCGGAUCGAAGUCUGCAACCCGACUUCGUGAAGCUGGAUUCGCUAGUAAUCGCGCAUCAGCCAUGGCGCGGUGAAUACGUUCCCGGGCCUUGUACACACCGCCCGUCAAGCCAUGAAAGCCGGGGGUACCUGAAGUACGUAACCGCAAGGAGCGUCUUAGGGUA
Molecule: ribosomal RNA, 1434 nt
Filed under: uncultured organism
Description: 16S ribosomal RNA
Rfam family: Bacterial small subunit ribosomal RNA
Source: RNAcentral